Long non-coding RNA from Cyprinodon tularosa, 788 nucleotides. RefSeq lists it as uncharacterized. The transcript is spliced from 2 exons. The record is from RefSeq and is a predicted model, not a curated record. NCBI's taxonomy places the organism in Eukaryota, Metazoa, Chordata, Actinopteri, Cyprinodontiformes, Cyprinodontidae.
UUUGCAUGACAAUUGCCAUUGCUUACAUUAUGUGUUUCUUUGCAGAUGGAAUAGGAAUCAACCCUGCCCAGACUGCAGGGAAUGUGUUUCUAAAGCACGGCUCGGAGCUUCGUCUCAUUCCCAGAGACAGAGUGGGAGGACGAGGAGACUGACUUAUGCAGCAUCUCCCUGUUGAUGGCAUAAUGACUCACACCACAGAAACACACAACACUUUCGACCCAGGAAACACCUCAGCAUGUUUCAUAUUUAUUUUUUCUGGCCCACACAACUGACAGUGACUCACACGAGACUAUGCAUAUUUAAAGUCACGGGUGACACACAGAGUUAAGGAGUCCCUAAAUAGAUGUUAUCAGAUAGAAGCAGAGGUUUGGAUUGGUGGCUAGAGAAAUACCCACAGAGGCUGAGUAAUAAUUGUAAACAUAAGACAGCAUCUUUGGGUUUAGCAAGGUUAAAGGAAAAACCGAGUUGAUAUUAACUUUUGCAUCAUUUCUCAUGUCAAAUAAAGUAACAUAACAGCAACAGAACAUCCUCUUUUAUUGUUGACUUUACCUGCAUUGUAAAUAUGGCUGUUUCAUUUUGUCAAUAAAGGCAUGAGGUGCUUUCAUUGAAUGUUGCUUUUCUAAUGAAGACAGCCUCUUCAUGUUAUAUCUUUUUUCCCCCCAUAAAUCUCAUGUUCCUCAUAUUUCAAACAACUUCCAUUAUAGAUGUCCUCCGGACUCUUGGUUUGGACCAGGUGGAAACAUCAUAAAAGCAUUUUAACCCAUUAAAUUGAACUCUGCAAACACGUG